Carassius auratus (goldfish) is the source of this 795-nucleotide long non-coding RNA. RefSeq lists it as uncharacterized. The record is from RefSeq and is a predicted model, not a curated record. NCBI's taxonomy places the organism in Eukaryota, Metazoa, Chordata, Actinopteri, Cypriniformes, Cyprinidae. The transcript is spliced from 3 exons.
AGCUCCUAAAAUGAGCAAAUAAGCUGUGCAUCAUCUCUGUGAUUUGGGAAGGAAAUGACUGAAUAUGAUGAAGCCAGUUGAUGAAGAUAUCAAUUGAAUGGCCACCGAGUGCAUCACUGCUACCUGAACCCAUCAGUUAUCUGCUGUGAAGACUGCAUUCACAAACCGCUCUACUGCGACAGCUCAGAUGUUACGGCCUGUAAAAGUAAACAUCACAGCUAAACAACGAGAGCUAGUUGUGGUGGGAUUCUUUUGGCCAAUAUCCCCAACAAGAAUCAAUGACAUCUAGACCAGGUGGAGUGUGAGGAGGACCGUCAGAGACUCCAGCCAGCCGAGCCAUGGAUUGCUCUCACUGUUACCAUCAGGCAUGCGUUAUCACAGAACCUACACCAGCAGACAGUGAGACAAGUUCCUUUCACAGGCAAUCAGACUGAACUGAACUCAUACCAGUAAAACCAUACACACCCCACCAACCUCAUAUGCCCUGCACUCUUAUCAGUUAUGCUGACUGGACUCAAUAUUAUUAUGCACCCUGACAUUCUGUUUGCACUAAUUCAUACCGUGCUUUACUGCAGAGAUGUAUGUGUACUGUGAUUAUUAUUGUUUUCAAUUCAUGCUCUCUGUAUAGCAUAAUUUUUAACAUAUAUUGUUCUCUACCUGAAUUGAGUCCCUUAUAUAUGUGUGUUGCAUAUAUAUAUUCAGAAUUUGUAUUACAUAUAUUCAUGAUUUUAAUUCAUUUGUCAUCCAUACUGUCACGCUGCAGUCUGCACCCAAGACUUUCAUCACCUGUAUACU